CCAUCGAAGCGUUUUCAGGAAUCUACAUAAGAGCACCAAGAAACUGAUGUAUGUUAGCAGGCAAAAAGAGGGACUCUAUCAUGUGUCUUAUCAACUCAUGUAACUCAGGCUCGGGUUUUCAUAUCAUAAACGGGUGAAAUGAUGAUUCUGACUUCUGAGUAACAUAGCUCAUCAUACAAGCAUAAUAACUUUGAAAGUCAAUGCUGAUCCAUUUACCUCAAGAGAAGCCCUUGUAGCUGGAUAUAGAUCAUCAUCGCUAAGACCUGUGAACUCCAAAACGAAAUAGUGCUCCAACUACUUUCAGAAGAUGAAUCAGAACUCAUUACUCCAUAAAUUCCAAGAUCAACCAUAGGGGCAUGACUCGUCAGAAAGGUGUAAAGCAUAGGGGAAAGAUAUAUAUAUUAAAAGAAAAGCCCCGUAAUUUCUGCAUAGUAUGAGGCGCUCGACCUUUCAGUUUUAAGUAAUACAUCUCAGAGGAUCAGGUGAAAGUCACAGUGCUUGAAGUGAUCACUAGCAUAACGGUAUUUUAUCUGAUGCAGUUACAUAAAACAGUCCUAUGUUGGGUACUUGUCUCAGGUCACCCUGGCCAGUCUGCCUCCCAAUCUCCCCCCGCCCUUCUUCCCAGGAGGUGCAACUGCUUUUACUUGGGAUCAAACCCAGACCUUCCCGGAGGAAGGUAAAUAUGGUACUAUCUAAGCUACACUCAGUCGGUUUGAUCACUAGCAGAAGUUGCUUGAUUACAAAUUUGGAUAACGCCGGUUUGAAGGCAUUAAAAGCAAUCCCAAUUACAUACAGCACCACCCCAAAAUGAGGAUUAAACUCUGCUGCCUAGGGUUGCCAUGAAAGCACCAACUAGUGGUCCAUCUCAGGGAUUCUCAAAUUGCAAAAUCAUAUAGCAAUUCUUUGAAGUUUCGUGAACGUAUCUGGUAUUAAACCAGUGCCAAAACACAUUGUGUUCGUAACUUUAUAAUGACAUCUAAGAACUAACCUUUCCCAUUACCAAAAGUUACGAACAUUUAAAGUAUUUUUAUUCUUUUUAAUCCACAUAAGCCCUCUCCCUAUGUGAAGUGCCCAAAUUAAAAUGUUGAUAUCUUUUGAGAUGGAAGGACUACUAUUAGCUUAGAUUCGUUUAUAAGAUACCCCAACUAACUUUACCAAGUACCAAAACAAUCAUCCUUGUGCAGUAAAUUAUUGCUUUGAUUACAUAGGGAAAGUGUAAAAUUUACCAGGGUAACAAAUCAGGGCAGAGCCAAGAAGGAGGCGGCCAGAACAACCCGGACAAGCCUGGAUAAGAUGAUAACACCUUACAACGAUUCUCUUUCAUGCAGAACACGCCAAUCGUAAGGUGAUUUUCUUCUCCUUCAAACAAUUUAUAAUCAGGAGAAUACCCUCCAGAAUGAUGAGGAAAACAAUUUUUAGGGAACAAAAUACAAUUUCCUCUGCACCCUGGAACAUCUUUAGCAUCAACAAAGAAGCAGCUGUCAAAACUGACGAACAAAAUCCUAUCUCCUAAAUUAUUCAGCUUAUCCCACUUACGCUGCGCUUCAUUCAACCUAAAAACCGAAAAACUCGAGUAGUUUCUAACAAUCAUGUAGAGUUCUCCAAAUGAUUCCACCAACAGCUUACGCGUAUGUCUGUGUGAAUAGCAGUAACCUAAUCGAUCUGCAAUAGCAUCAAUUAUGCUCAUCUUAUAACUAUCAAUGCCAAUGAGUGAUUCUUUAGAUUUAUAGAAGCCAAAGAACCUCCUAACUUGAGGAACAAAACAACUGCUGUACAAUCAGAAAUGGAGGUUGCGUUAUCGGAGAGCAUCACCAC
This is a long non-coding RNA of Beta vulgaris subsp. vulgaris (sugar beet), 1815 nucleotides long. RefSeq lists it as uncharacterized. The transcript is spliced from 4 exons. NCBI's taxonomy places the organism in Eukaryota, Viridiplantae, Streptophyta, Magnoliopsida, Caryophyllales, Amaranthaceae. The record is from RefSeq and is a predicted model, not a curated record.